Molecule: ribosomal RNA, 374 nt
Filed under: uncultured organism
Description: partial 16S ribosomal RNA
Rfam family: Bacterial small subunit ribosomal RNA
Source: RNAcentral
GUAGGUGGCAAGCGUUGUCCGGAAUUAUUGGGCGUAAAGCGCGCGCAGGCGGUUCUUUAAGUCUGAUGUGAAAGCCCACGGCUCAACCGUGGAGGGUCAUUGGAAACUGGAGAACUUGAGUACAGAAGAGGAAAGCGGAAUUCCACGUGUAGCGGUGAAAUGCGUAGAGAUGUGGAGGAACACCAGUGGCGAAGGCGGCUUUCUGGUCUGUAACUGACGCUGAGGCGCAAAAGCGUGGGGAGCAAACAGGAUUAGAUACCCUGGUAGUCCACGCCGUAAACGAUGAGUGCUAAGUGUUAGGGGGGUUUUCCGCCCCCCUUAGUGCUGCAGCUAACGCAUUAAGCACUCCGCCUGGGAGUACGGCCGCAAGGCUG